GACUUUGCCUUCAAGGGGAGAUACCAUGAUCAUAAAGUUGGUAUUCCUAGGGUCAGGCUUAUCCAAUGCACACAGGAUGUGUUGACCCUUUCUCCAGAUACAAGAAACUGCACAAUUUGUGGUAGUGGCGGACUGCAUUCACUCUCUUCCCUG
This 153-nucleotide small nuclear RNA is filed under the name Mesocricetus auratus (golden hamster). RNAcentral's name for it is "U1 spliceosomal RNA (ENSMAUG00000004224.1)". It matches the Rfam family "U1 spliceosomal RNA". Rfam says of the family: U1 is a small nuclear RNA (snRNA) component of the spliceosome (involved in pre-mRNA splicing). Its 5' end forms complementary base pairs with the 5' splice junction, thus defining the 5' donor site of an intron. Lineage: Eukaryota; Metazoa; Chordata; Mammalia; Rodentia; Cricetidae. The record is from RNAcentral.